UUCGAAAGCGUGGUAGCAAACAGGAUUUAGAUACCGUGGUAGUCCACGCCGUAAACGAUGUCUACUAGUCGUUGGGUCCCUUGAGGACUUAGUGACGCAGCUAACGCAAUAAGUAGACCGCCUGGGGAGUACGGCCGCAAGGUUAAAACUCAAAUGAAUUGACGGGGGCCCGCACAAGCGGUGGAGCAUGUGGUUUAAUUCGAUGCAACGCGAAGAACCUUACCUGGUCUUGACAUACACAGAAUCUUGUAGAGAUACGAGAGUGCCUUCGGGAAUUGUGAUACAGGUGCUGCAUGGCUGUCGUCAGCUCGUGUCGUGAGAUGUUGGGUUAAGUCCCGCAACGAGCGCAACCCUUUUCCUUAGUUACCAGCACUUUGGGUGGGAACUCUAAGGAUACUGCCAGUGACAAACUGGAGGAAGGCGGGGACGACGUCAAGUCAUCAUGGCCCUUACGACCAGGGCUACACACGUGCUACAAUGGUAGGUACAGAGGGCAGCUACACAGCGAUGUGAUGCGAAUCUCAAAAAGCCUAUCGUAGUCCAGAUUGGAGUCUGCAACUCGACUCCAUGAAGUAGGAAUCGCUAGUAAUCGCGGAUCAGAAUGCCGCGGUGAAUACGUUCCCGGGCCUUGUACACACCGCCCGUCACACCAUGGGAGUUGAUUGCACCAGA
RNAcentral lists this ribosomal RNA (672 nucleotides) under Psychrobacter pacificensis. Its description in RNAcentral is "bacterial SSU rRNA". It matches the Rfam family "Bacterial small subunit ribosomal RNA", at positions 752 to 1424 of the family's 1533-position model. Lineage: Bacteria; Pseudomonadati; Pseudomonadota; Gammaproteobacteria; Moraxellales; Moraxellaceae. The record is from RNAcentral.